AAUGACGCUCGGACAGGCAUGCCCCCCGGAAUACCAGGGGGCGCAAUGUGCGUUCAAAGACUCGAUGAUUCACUGAAUUCUGCAAUUCACAUUAGUUAUCGCAUUUCGCUGCGUUCUUCAUCGAUGCCGGAACCAAGAGAUCCAUUGUUGAAAGUUUU
RNAcentral lists this ribosomal RNA (158 nucleotides) under Aspergillus niger. Its description in RNAcentral is "5.8S ribosomal RNA". The record is from RNAcentral. Lineage: Eukaryota; Fungi; Ascomycota; Eurotiomycetes; Eurotiales; Aspergillaceae.